RNAcentral lists this long non-coding RNA (1301 nucleotides) under Chinchilla lanigera (long-tailed chinchilla). RNAcentral describes it as "lncRNA (ENSCLAG00000023297.1)". Lineage: Eukaryota; Metazoa; Chordata; Mammalia; Rodentia; Chinchillidae. The record is from RNAcentral.
GUCAUCCUUCACCAUAUCAUGGUUCACUUAUUGCGACUUCACUGUAUCUCAGGUUUUUUUAAAAAAUAAUAAUACAGUAUUAAUUCCUUUGAGUCCUGCAGGCUUUCACAGUUAAAAGGACAAGGACAUGUCCGGGCUGGAUCCCAAGGUCUCCAUCUGAGUGUCCCACCUCAUUCUGCAUCCAGGGGGCGGCCCUGGCCACAGUGUGGAUUCCUCUGGCUUGCUAAAUGUUACGCCAGGAGUGUGCUCCGUCCAUUGGAUGCAGGCUUCUGCAAAAUGCCCCAGCUCCAUCUCCAUAUCACCUAGCAGUCUUCCUCAACAUCACCCUUCAGAGUUUGGCCUAGUCUUCUGGAACUCAGUUCUCUCUGGCUUGGCCUGGAAGGAUAAAGAGUCUUGGCUCCUUUCUGCCUGCUGCCAAGGUGAGGAUUCCCCCAAGAAGGCCAGAGCAGGAUCUCCUAAGGCCCAGCUUCAAGCAAGAGGCCUCCUGGGCUCCAUAGGGUAUUCUGCACUCAGAAGGCAUUUGCUCAGCAUGGCCCUGCAGGACAUGGAAAGGCCUGCAGUCAAGAGGACUGGUUGGCUCUUGCCCUCAGGGAGCUCAUAGUCUGACAGGAAGAUUCAGAUAUGAAGUGAGCAAGUAAACAGCAAAUAUUUAUGCAUUUUGAAAAAAGAAAGAAAGAAAGAAAACACUGCAGGGGAACCCACUCUGUGUGGUACAGGUGAGUCUGAAGCUGAGAAGAAGCUGGGGGCAUGGGGCCUUGAGGGAAAUAGGGUCUAUGUGGACAGAACUGAGAAAGGCCAGGACCAGGAGGCUGCGGAGACUGGGUGUAAGCAGGGCAGCUGUGUCAGGCUUUGAGGCCACAUUCAGCAGUUUGGAGCUGGGCAGGAUGGCGCACAACUGUAAUCCCAGUAUUUUGGAGGCUGAGGCAGAAAGCUCACAAGUUCAAGGGCAGUCUGGGCUGCAUAGCAACACCCUAGCUUUAAAAAAAAAUAAGUUCAGAGUUAUCCCAGUUACUUUUUUCGCACUGCUGGGACAAAAUACCGGACACCCAAAAUUAAGGAAGAAGAGGCUUAUUUAGCUCAUAGUUUGUGGAGGUUUCAGUCCAUACUUGGCUAGCUCCGAGGGAGAGUGGCACACGGCACAGGGUAACUGUUCUGGCGGCAGAAGACAGCAAAGGCAAGUAAGCAAGAGCAAAAGGGAGGAGUGGCUGCAAGCAGCCGCUUUCUCUCCCUCACAUAUGCAAACUAUCCACCCCAAGCACUCACACCCAUGAAUCAAUCAUAAACUUUAGAAGCCCGCCCCA